Molecule: ribosomal RNA, 279 nt
Filed under: uncultured bacterium
Lineage: Bacteria
Description: partial 16S ribosomal RNA
Rfam family: Bacterial small subunit ribosomal RNA
Source: RNAcentral
GGCCAGCCGCCGCGGUAAUACGUAGGGUCUAAGCGUUAAUCGGAAUUACUGGGCGUAAAGCGUGCGCAGGCGGUUGUGCAAGACCGAUGUGAAAUCCCCGGGCUUAACCUGGGAAUCGCAUUGGUGACUGCACGGCUAGAGUGUGUCAGAGGGGGGUAGAAUUCCACGUGUAGCAGUGAAAUGCGUAGAGAUGUGGAGGAAUACCGAUGGCGAAGGCAGCCCCCUGGGAUAACACUGACGCUCAUGCCCCUAACCGUGUGGAGCAAACCGGAUUAGAUG